RNAcentral lists this ribosomal RNA (377 nucleotides) under uncultured bacterium. Its description in RNAcentral is "bacterial SSU rRNA". It matches the Rfam family "Bacterial small subunit ribosomal RNA", at positions 521 to 896 of the family's 1533-position model. The record is from RNAcentral.
UAAUACGGGGGGAGCAAGCGUUGUCCGGAAUCAUUGGGCGUAAAGGGCGUGUAGGUGGUUUCGUAAGUCGAAUGUGAAAUCUCACGGCUCAACCGUGAAAUUGCGUUCGAAACUACGAGACUUGAGUUAGGGAGAGGUGUACGGAAUUCCUGGUGUAGCGGUGGAAUGCGUAGAUAUCAGGAAGAACACCAAUGGCGAAGGCAGUACACUGGCCUGUAACUGACACUGAGGCGCGAAAGCGUGGGGAGCAAACAGGAUUAGAUACCCUGGUAGUCCACGCUGUAAACGAUGGGUACUAGGUUUUGGGGGUCUCAACCCCUUCAGAGCCGUAGCUAACGCGUUAAGUACCCCGCCUGGGGAGUACGAUCGCAAGGUUG